UACGUAGGGGGCAGCGUUGUUCGGAAUCAUUGGGCGUAAAGAGCGUGUAGGCGGCCAGAUAAGUCCGCUGUGAAAACUCGAGGCUCAACUUCGAGCUGUCGGUGGAAACUAUUUGGCUAGAGUCCGGAAGAGGAGAGUGGAAUUCCUGGUGUAGCGGUGAAAUGCGCAGAUAUCAGGAAGAACACCCGUGGCGAAGGCGGCUCUCUGGUACGGAACUGACGCUGAGACGCGAAAGCGUGGGGAGCGAACAGG
Molecule: ribosomal RNA, 252 nt
Filed under: uncultured bacterium
Lineage: Bacteria
Description: partial 16S ribosomal RNA
Rfam family: Bacterial small subunit ribosomal RNA
Source: RNAcentral